RNAcentral lists this non-coding RNA (64 nucleotides) under unclassified sequences. The record is from RNAcentral.
UACUGACUGACCUAGCAGACGACGUAGAGACAGUAUAUAAAUAACUACGAGGUAAAUAAAAAUG